RNAcentral lists this ribosomal RNA (247 nucleotides) under uncultured bacterium. RNAcentral's name for it is "partial 16S ribosomal RNA". It matches the Rfam family "Bacterial small subunit ribosomal RNA", at positions 32 to 267 of the family's 1533-position model. The record is from RNAcentral.
AAUCAACGCUGGCGGCGUGCCUAAUACAUGCAAGUCGAACGCGAGAGGGGCUUCGGCCCCAAUUGAGUGGCAAACGGGUGAGUAACACGUGGGUGAUCUACCUUCGAGUGGGGGAUAACGUUUCGAAAGGAACGCUAAUACCGCAUAACAUCCUGUCUUUGGACAGAUGGAGAUCAAAGCCGGGACCGCAAGGCCUGGCGCUUGAAGAGGAGCCCGCGCCGAUUAGCUAGGGUGAGGUAACGGCUCA